UUCUGCUGCAGGGAAUCAUGGUAAGAUCUUUAAUUAAUUAUGUAAAAACAUUUAUCGAAUUCUGGUGUUGAUGAUGAUCUUCAAGGAUGAACAUAUACCGUUUACUAAUUAGCAUUUCAAUUUCUCUUCUUGGUUUUGUUAUAUUCGAAGGUUUCCUCGUGAAAUUAAUUAGUUAGUUAAUGGUGUUUAUAUUCAGAAGUGUUGUUUUCAACUCCAUUGACUUUAUUAUUGUUAUUAUUAUCAUCACUAAUUCUUUUAAAUAUCGACCAACCUUUCACCCUUAAUUGACUCUCUAAUCCUAUCAUCAUUCUUAUAAUAUAGCCGCACUGUUAUAGCUAAUCCAAUCCUUUAACCCAUCAUUUAUGGGAGAACCUUUGGUGAUGAUAAAUGUUUCAGAUACUGAUGAAGGCUUUGAUCUGUGUUUGUAAUGCAGGUAGCUCAAUUCUGCCAGGG
This 453-nucleotide unclassified non-coding RNA is filed under the name Hevea brasiliensis (rubber tree). The record is from RNAcentral. Lineage: Eukaryota; Viridiplantae; Streptophyta; Magnoliopsida; Malpighiales; Euphorbiaceae.